UAUGCAGUGAUGUCACCGUAUAGUCAGUCAUGCUGAUCAGGAAAGAAACGAUGGGACCGAUCUCCAUUUGACCACCAUCUUCCCACCGAUGCUGAGCCACUGCCCAUUGCUACAUCAGUGGGUCAUGUCCACCAGCUGUGAGAGCAAAAUAUUCCAGCAGUCCACAGCAGAGUCUAGAGGAUCCAGGAGAUGAAGAACAGACUCCAAAUCUAAUCAGAGGGCCAAAGGGUAAAUUCCAAGUUUGGUGAUACUCACAUGGCAAGAGGACCAUGCAGUGCCCUAUGGACUUGGAAGAUAAACAAGCAAGGAGGAAACCAGCAAACCUGUUACUCUCCUCUGUGUUCUGGGGCCAUAGUCAUACAUGCAACUCCAUUCUGAACAGUCUGCUGGGCAGGAAUGGAGGUGAGAAGGAGGUGGAAGGAACCGAGUCAUGUCAUCUACACACUGCUGUGUAAGUUUUAAGCUGGACUACUUUCCACUGAUUCAUUCAGGAAUCCUCAGCGAAGUCCUAGGUUAAGAUCACAGACUACAAAAUCCAGCAGGACACAGAUGCUGCCCUUGAAGAUCUGUUCACAUUUUACUGAGGAAAAAAUAAACCCAAGAAGUAAUAGCUAUGGAUUUUGUGAUAAGCAAUAUGUUCAAAAACCAUCAAGGUGCUACAGGGGCAAAAGAUGCUGACAUUCGAACAGGGAGGAAGUAAGCAGUUAGGAUGGUCCUAAUAAAUUACCUGCACACAUUCUGACAUGGAAGCAAAUAUGAUGGUAAUAUUUUGGUGAAUAGACAUUAAACUGUGGCUCAUGCAGAUGAUGGAAUCAGCAUUUGGUGGGUUUAGGCAGGAGAUAAUACUAAAGAAGCA
RNAcentral lists this long non-coding RNA (856 nucleotides) under Fukomys damarensis (Damara mole-rat). Its description in RNAcentral is "lncRNA (ENSFDAG00000025144.1)". The record is from RNAcentral. Lineage: Eukaryota; Metazoa; Chordata; Mammalia; Rodentia; Bathyergidae.